This 391-nucleotide ribosomal RNA is filed under the name Trichobaris compacta. RNAcentral describes it as "SSU rRNA". It matches the Rfam family "Eukaryotic small subunit ribosomal RNA", at positions 656 to 986 of the family's 1831-position model. The record is from RNAcentral. RNAcentral also lists the same sequence under 2 other names. Lineage: Eukaryota; Metazoa; Arthropoda; Insecta; Coleoptera; Curculionidae.
GGUCUCGCGCCGCCGGUUCAUCGUUCGCGGUGUUAACUGGCGAGUCGCGAGACGUCCUGCCGGUAGACUUAGCCGGCAUCUUUCGGGGUGUCGGCGGUCUGACAAUCCCUCCCUGGUGCUCUUCAUUGAGUGUCGCGGUGGGCCGGCACGUUUACUUUGAACAAAUUAGAGUGCUUAAAGCAGGCUAAAACUUCGCCUGAAUACUGUGUGCAUGGAAUAAUGGAAUAGGACCUCGGUUCUAUUUUGUUGGUUUUCGGAACCCCGAGGUAAUGAUUAAUAGGAACGGAUGGGGGCAUUCGUAUUGCGACGUUAGAGGUGAAAUUCUUGGAUCGUCGCAAGACGGACAGAAGCGAAAGCAUUUGCCAAAAACGCUUUCAUUGAUCAAGAACGA